RNAcentral lists this unclassified non-coding RNA (253 nucleotides) under uncultured Hymenobacteraceae bacterium. RNAcentral describes it as "contains 16S-23S intergenic spacer region". It matches the Rfam family "Bacterial small subunit ribosomal RNA", at positions 524 to 776 of the family's 1533-position model. Lineage: Bacteria; Pseudomonadati; Bacteroidota; Cytophagia; Cytophagales; Hymenobacteraceae. The record is from RNAcentral.
UACGGAGGGUGCAAGCGUUUUCCGGCUUUACUGGGUUUAAAGGGUGCGUAGGCGGCCUUCUAAGUCAGGGGUGAAAUCCCGGGGCUCAACCCCGGAACUGCCUUUGAUACUGGGAGGCUUGAGUUCGGUAGAGGCGGGCGGAACUGGUGGUGUAGCGGUGAAAUGCAUAGAUGCCACCAAGAACCCCGAUUGCGAAGGCAGCUCGCUGUGCCGAAACUGACGCUGAGGCACGAAAGCGUGGGGAGCGAACAGG